RNAcentral lists this unclassified non-coding RNA (433 nucleotides) under soil metagenome. RNAcentral describes it as "partial contains 5.8S ribosomal RNA, internal transcribed spacer 2, and large subunit ribosomal RNA". The stretch from base 1 to 120 matches the Rfam family "5.8S ribosomal RNA", at positions 35 to 154 of the family's 154-position model. The record is from RNAcentral.
GAUGAAGAACGUAGCGAAAUGCGAUACGUAAUGUGAAUUGCAGAAUUCAGUGAAUCAUCGAAUCUUUGAACGCAUAUUGCGCUCUCUGGUAUUCCGGAGAGCAUGCUUGUUUGAGUAUCAGUAAACACCUCAACUUCCAUAUCUUUUUUGAAAUGGGAGUUGGACUUGAGUGAUCCCAACGCUUUUCCUCACCGAAAAGUGGCGGGUUACUUGAAAUGCAGGUGCAGCUGGACUUUUCUCUGAGCUAUAAGCAUAUCUAUUUAGUCUGCCUAAAAAACAGAUUAUUACCUUUGCUGCAGCUAACAUAAAGGGGAUUAGUUCUUGUGCUGACUGAUGCAGGAUUCACAAAGACAGGCUUCGGCCGACUUUGUAAACUCGAUCUCAAAUCAAGUAAGACUACCCGCUGAACUUAAGCAUAUCAAUAAGCGGAGGA